UGCCAGCCGCCGCGGUAAUACGGAGGGUGCAAGCGUUAUCCGGAUUUAUUGGGUUUAAAGGGUACGUAGGCGGAAUAUUAAGUCAGUGGUGAAAUCCUGCGGCUCAACCGUAGAACUGCCAUUGAUACUGAUAUUCUUGAAUAUAGUUGAGGUAGGCGGAAUGCGUAAUGUAGCGGUGAAAUGCUUAGAUAUUACACAGAACACCGAUUGCGAAGGCAGCUUACUAGACUAUUAUUGACGCUGAUGUACGAAAGCGUGGGGAGCGAACAGGAUUAGAUA
Molecule: ribosomal RNA, 279 nt
Filed under: uncultured bacterium
Lineage: Bacteria
Description: partial 16S ribosomal RNA
Rfam family: Bacterial small subunit ribosomal RNA
Source: RNAcentral